This 50-nucleotide small nucleolar RNA is filed under the name Pyrobaculum arsenaticum DSM 13514. RNAcentral's name for it is "PARsR124". The record is from RNAcentral. Lineage: Archaea; Thermoproteati; Thermoproteota; Thermoprotei; Thermoproteales; Thermoproteaceae.
GUGAUGGAGGUCCCCGUUACUGAACGGUGAAGACUUCACGUACCGGCUGA